RNAcentral lists this non-coding RNA (785 nucleotides) under Nepa hoffmanni. The record is from RNAcentral. Lineage: Eukaryota; Metazoa; Arthropoda; Insecta; Hemiptera; Nepidae.
AUAAAAGUUUGAUUCUUGCUUUGAAAUUUUAUUUUAGUUUUCUUGUCACAUGUUAAUUUUUGUGGUAGUUGUUUCCUUUUCUUGAUGGUUGGGUGAUAAAUUUUUAAUUCUCAGUGCUUAUUAUUAUCAUAUUCAGUAGUUUGAGAUGUAGGAAAAUCUUAUAGUUCCGGCUAAGUUUUGUGCCAGCAGCCGCGGUUACACAAUAGGGGUUAAUAAAUUUUAUUGGUUUUGGUAUUUUUAUAUUUUUAUGGGUUUGUUUUUAUUGUUUUAAGGUAAAAUUUUAAUUUUUAAUUUAUGCUUUGGAUUAUAUAUUAUACGAUAAUGUUGUUUUAAACUAGGAUUAGAUACCCUAUUAUUUUCAUUGUAAAUUUGUUGACCUUAGUAUUAAUAGUUAUAAUCUUUAAAUUAAAAGAAUUUGGCGGUAAUUUAAUCUUUCCAGAGGAACCUGUCCUGUAAUUGAUAAUCCACGUUGAAUUUUACUUUAAUUUUGUUUGUAUACCUCUGUCAUUGAAUGUUUUUAAAGGAUAUUUUCUUUUUUCUUUUUAGGGAAAAAUGUUAGGUCAAGGUGCAGCUAUGUUAAAGUUUGAGAUGGGUUACAUUGUUUAUAUUUUUGGAUAUUUUGUUGUAAUACAUUAUUGAAAUUGGAUUUGGAAGUAAUUUAUAUUAUUUAAUAUAUUUGAUUUUGGCGCUAAAUUAUGCACACAUCGCCCGUCACUCUCGUUUUAAGAUGAGAUAAGUCGUAACAAAGUAGGUUUACCGGAAGGUGUAUCUGGUUAGGCUUGUUG